RNAcentral lists this ribosomal RNA (111 nucleotides) under uncultured Cenococcum. RNAcentral describes it as "partial 5.8S ribosomal RNA". It matches the Rfam family "5.8S ribosomal RNA", at positions 1 to 110 of the family's 154-position model. From Rfam's summary of the family: 5.8S ribosomal RNA (5.8S rRNA) is a component of the large subunit of the eukaryotic ribosome. It is transcribed by RNA polymerase I as part of the 45S precursor that also contains 18S and 28S rRNA. Functionally, it is thought that 5.8S rRNA may be involved in ribosome translocation. Lineage: Eukaryota; Fungi; Ascomycota; Dothideomycetes; Gloniales; Gloniaceae. The record is from RNAcentral.
AAACUUUCAAAAACGGAUCUCUUGGUUCUGGCAUCGAUGAAGAACGCAGCGAAAUGCGAUAAGUAGUGUGAAUUGCAGAAUUCAGUGAAUCAUCGAAUCUUUGAACGCAAU